This 301-nucleotide ribosomal RNA is filed under the name uncultured bacterium. RNAcentral describes it as "partial 16S ribosomal RNA". It matches the Rfam family "Bacterial small subunit ribosomal RNA", at positions 509 to 807 of the family's 1533-position model. The record is from RNAcentral.
CAGCCGCCGCGGGAAUACGUAGGUGGCAAGCGUUGUCCGGAAUUAUUGGGCGUAAAGCGUGCGCAGGCGGUUGUGUAAGACAGGUGUGAAAUCCCCGGGCUUAACCUGGGAACUGCGCUUGUGACUGCACAGCUAGAGUAUGGCAGAGGGGGGUGGAAUUCCACGUGUAGCGGUGAAAUGCGUAGAGAUGUGGAGGAACACCAGCGGCGAAGGCGACUCUCUGGUCUGUAACUGACGCUGAGGAGCGAAAGCGUGGGGAGCGAACAGGAUUAGAGACCCCCGUAGUCCCUGUCUCUUAUAC